RNAcentral lists this ribosomal RNA (495 nucleotides) under uncultured bacterium. Its description in RNAcentral is "partial 16S ribosomal RNA". It matches the Rfam family "Bacterial small subunit ribosomal RNA", at positions 28 to 507 of the family's 1533-position model. The record is from RNAcentral.
GAUGAACGCUGGCGGCGUGCCUAAUACAUGCAAGUAGAACGCUGAAGGAGGAGCUUGCUCUUCUGGAUGAGUUGCGAACGGGUGAGUAACGCGUAGGUAACCUGCCUGGUAGCGGGGGAUAACUAUUGGAAACGAUAGCUAAUACCGCAUGACAACAGUUAUUGCAUGAUAACUGUUUAAAAGGGGCAACUGCUCCACUGCCAGAUGGACCUGCGUUGUAUUAGCUAGUUGGUGAGGUAACGGCUCACCAAGGCGACGAUACAUAGCCGACCUGAGAGGGUGAUCGGCCACACUGGGACUGAGACACGGCCCAGACUCCUACGGGAGGCAGCAGUAGGGAAUCUUCGGCAAUGGACGGAAGUCUGACCGAGCAACGCCGCGUGAGUGAAGAAGGUUUUCGGAUCGUAAAGCUCUGUUGUAAGAGAAGAACGAGUGUGAGAGUGGAAAGUUCACACUGUGACGGUAGCUUACCAGAAAGGGACGGCUAACUACGUG